Long non-coding RNA from Erpetoichthys calabaricus (reedfish), 189 nucleotides. RefSeq lists it as uncharacterized. Lineage: Eukaryota; Metazoa; Chordata; Cladistia; Polypteriformes; Polypteridae. The transcript has 3 exons. The record is from RefSeq and is a predicted model, not a curated record.
GAGGGAUCUUAUUAUGGCUUCACCUCCAACUUCCAGGCACCUGAUUGUAGCCACGCCCCCUAAUGACAGGCAUCUGAUUUUAGCCACUCCUCUAAAGGUAGCAGUCUGAAUGUAGCCACACCCCAGUAUGUGAUGGGGACCAAUAGCCACCACUCCUUCAUGUAAAAAGCAUCUGAUUAUAGCCACUCC